GGUGAACGCUGGCGGCGUGCCUAACACAUGCAAGUCGAUCGGAGCAGCAAUGCUUAGAGGCGAACGGGUGAGGAAAACGUAGUAACCAACCCUUUAGACUGGGAUAGCCACUGGAAACGGUGGGUAAUACCGGAUAAGCUCGAGAGAGGAAAGGCAGAGAAGCGCUAAAGGACGAACUGCGCCCAUCAGAUAGUUGGUGAGGUAAAGGCUUACCAAGUCAAAGACGGGAAACCGACGUGAGAGCGUGUACGGUCACAAGGGCACUGAGAGACGGGCCCUACUCCUACGGGGAGGCAGCAGUGGGGAAUAUUGGACAAUGGACGAAAGUCUGAUCCAGCGACGCCGCGUGGAGGAAGAAGUCCUUCGGGAUGUAAACUCAUGAAGCUAACGAAUAAGACGGAAGGGGAACCUUCCGGGAGAAGGUAAUUAGUGAAAAGCCCCGGCUAACUACGUG
Molecule: ribosomal RNA, 454 nt
Filed under: uncultured bacterium
Lineage: Bacteria
Description: bacterial SSU rRNA
Rfam family: Bacterial small subunit ribosomal RNA
Source: RNAcentral